Molecule: non-coding RNA, 73 nt
Organism: Ixodes scapularis (black-legged tick)
Lineage: Eukaryota; Metazoa; Arthropoda; Arachnida; Ixodida; Ixodidae
Source: Rfam
CCCUGGUUAGCUCAGUUGGUAAAGCGCUCCACUGGAAAUGGAGAGGUCCCGGGUUUGAUACCCGGUCCAGGCG